CAGGAAAACAAGGUGAAUGUGUCCUCUCCAGUCGCUUGUAUGAAAAUUAGAACAUUUCAAGGCCUGUGUGAUAAGGAAUGAUACAAAAGUAGAGGUGUCCUCUUCUCAGUUUCUUCUGCUUCAUGUUACACAGCUGGCCUUUGUGUGCGUCUGUAUAACCUGCUUUCAGAAAACUUUAUCUACUGUUCUGCUAUCUGCUGUUAAUCCCAAAGAUGGAAGCGCAAAUUCUUCAGGAUUAACCUGGAGUCCAUGGAAAUUGUAUGAUAUCAGCAAGAAGAAGGCUUAAAACACCUAUCCAUCCAUCUAUCAUUUGGAUGCAAGCCCGUCGCUGGGAUCGAUGACUCCACAGUGGGAGCUGGGGAUGAAAUGUUCAGGGGUGGAUUUUGGAGCACUGCCUGGUGAAAGGGAAGAUGCCACUGACAGAAAAAAAAUGUGGCCCUGAUGAGCACAUUGCAGAAGGAUGAAGACAAGAAAGACUGCGAGACCGACAGACCAAGCCACAAAUGUAGGAAAUGUGUCUGCGAGUCACACACACAGCACAGAAACAAACUCAAAUUUCUGCACUGGCUGAACAGACAUCCAAAGAGGUUUAUAAAUCCAGCCAUCUAGUCACAUGUGCUCUAAAUAAAGGUUUAAUGCGCAAAGUGACACAUGACAGGGAUAAUUUUUUGUUAAGUUUUGCUUUGAUUUGUCUGUGUAGCAUUAUAUCAAUAUACUUACUAAACUCUAUCAGCAGGCAAAAAUAAAUCAAACCUAAAUAAUUUGUAUGAGAUUGAUUGGCAGAAUGUUUGUUGCCCUGUAUCCUGUGCUAUGCAGUAGCGCCUGGCUCAUGGUGACUGCUGUUAUGGAAGAUGAAUGGAUUGAUAGACUGUGUUUGUAAAUUAGGUAACAUGAAUUUUGCUAGGGGUGAGAGUAAAAUAUUUAUUAUAACCACUGUGAGGUGAUUUAGCCACUGGGUCAAAAUUAACCUGCCAGUGUAACAGAUGUAAAUAUUAUUUCUGAACAUAAUAGACAAAUUAAGAUAACUUUGAAG
Brienomyrus brachyistius is the source of this 1033-nucleotide long non-coding RNA. RefSeq lists it as uncharacterized. The record is from RefSeq and is a predicted model, not a curated record. The transcript has 4 exons. NCBI's taxonomy places the organism in Eukaryota, Metazoa, Chordata, Actinopteri, Osteoglossiformes, Mormyridae.